GGCGCCCCCCAGCCCGCCGCAGCCAGCGGAAGGACGCGGGGGCACGGCGGAGCGGCGCCGGGGGCCGAGCGGGGCGGGGUGCGCCCGGGAGCGGCUUAGCGCGGGGGUAAGUGAAAAGCCGGCAGCGAAAAUAACCCGGGAGAAGCCCGGCCUUGAACGCUAAUCCCGCUGCCGGCGUCCGCGCGGGGGUAACGUCGUUCCGCGGGGGCUAAUCCCGCUCGCACGGCGGGCCGCGUUCCCCCGCGCUGCCGGCACGAGUGAUGCUGAUGGGAGGUGGCACACAGGUGGCCCCCGCAGCGGGGCUGUGACAGGGCCCGUGCUGCCCGCAUGAAAGGCUCUGGAAAGCGUUCUGUAGAGCUUGUCCUGCCCCUGAGCGCUGUCGGUGCUCAGCGCAGCGGCAGAGCGAACUAGAACUCUUCGCUUUCGUUAUCAUUGUCUUUAUUAUUAUGAUUCCCCCUCUUUGCUAUAUUCAGGCCUUUUGUUCUCACCCAGGUAAGGGCUAGGGCGUGAUGGCUAACUCUUUGGAGCUGGCGCUGUAAGAAUAAUAGGUCUACCUAGAAAACAUGCAGGAGUGAUAUCAAGUGGUGACCCAAGAGAUGAAGAUGGAGGCAGUUUCAGUGUAGCACUGUGGCAAGUCCCAGCAAGCUCAAUGCAACGGUAAAACACAAUUUGCUCUUUGUAGUCCAUGUUGUUAUUAAUUGACGUGGUUUUCUGGGCUUACAGUGUGCAUUGAUUGCUUCUUUUUUUUUUUCCUUAACAACACAGCCAAGAUUAGUCGUGUUUCAGAGUUUGGGUUUGGAAAAAAAAAAACAGGAAAAAAAAAACUUCAAAAUAUCAUCUCAAUUAAAAUAUAUGUAUACAUGUAUUUCCAUUAAAUGCUUCCACAUUCAUAUAAGGUAAACUUGCCUCUUUGAUGACUAAAUUAUUUUAGGAAGAAAAUAUGUUCUGAUUGUCAUCUUCAGGGCAUUUUCAGUGACGUUUUAUGGCAGUCGUUUAAAAUAAAAUUCUUAGUCAUUCAGCAUUUUAACUGAAAGCUACGUGUUAUGCAAGCAGUUUGUCAAACCCAUUGAGCUACCUGCCUAGUAGUAACGCAGCAAUAAAUAAUGAUAGCAUUUAAGGCUGUUUUCAUCAUUAGUGCUGUCAGAUCUGAUUGAAAUAUUAUGAAUGUUAAGGUUAAAUAUAUGAAGGCAAUAAAUAUUGAUAUGAAGCGUGCUCAAGAGAGUUGUGUUUCCCAAGUGGAUCUGGGGGCAGACUUGUUAUGAUGAUGGCUACUGCCAGCUCAUUGCAUGGCAACAGUUGGAGGGUGGUGUUUGCAGAGCUGGGAGCCAGACAGGAGAUUCUGUGCUGUGGUGGAGUUGAACACAUGCAAUAGAAGAGACACCCUCUGAGCCAGGACCUCCCUCAGCACCCACCAGCUGAAGAUAACUGGGGGAAAGUGAAAGCUAUAUUGUGCUUUGCUAUCUUUGUGUUCACUUGAAUGCGUGCCCUCACUUCUUCUGUCUGAACCACUUGAACCCAUCAGUCACUGAGGGCGUGCAGGAGUGGAUCAUGCCACCAUGUGGUGCUUUAUCAAGGACCAGAUCUAUGGCCCAAGCAUCGCCAGGUCAGUUAUCCUUCAGCUUCCAGAAGGUUUUAUAGUACCUCAGCAAUAAGAAGAGCUUGUUCCUGUUCACCAUCAUUAUUUCAGUCAAGGCAGAGGCAGCUUUUGAACCCUGCAAUGUUCAUCUCUGGGUGGUUUGGGAUUGUUUUCUUGUUUUUUGAUUUUAUACCUCCCUGGCUGUGAAUGAAACCUCUUCAUCCCGGUUCAAAGCAUCCUCAUCACAAAAGGCCUAUCUGGUUGACCUUUGGACUGUAGAUGAUGCAGACGAGAGUGGAAAAUGGAGAUUAGCGUUCAGCAGUGCUUAGCCAGUUCCUCAUGUUCUUCCCUGUAACAAGAACCCCGAGUUCAGCAGAUGGACUUUCUACAUAGUGUAAUAGGAGAGAGAAGUACCAAAAAAAGGCAGAUACCUAAGACAUUUUGAAACUGGGCCAACUGGGCCACUGCGAGCCACUUCAUGACUUGGGACACUGAGACAGCAAGGCAGAGGCAUCCUCAGGGGGCUUAGUGCCAGUGAGGUUUCUUCUUGAACUGGGAAGAAAGGAUGGGAAAAUUUUUUCCUUUUAUAAGUGCUUUCUUCCUCUAAAGAUGCAGGUUCACAGCCUUUUUCCACUUGACCUGGAACAGAAUUUGACUGUAGCCUGUCUUUUUAUGAGAAAAAAAGGAGGAAAAAGAAAUAGGAAAGGCUUCUCUGAUCCUUUGAUCCAACCUUUCCCAUGUGGCAGAAAUAAGUAUUUAUGAAAGCAGGAGCCCCAGCCUUGGUUUUCCAGCUCCCACUGAUGAUCUGAAUCAAAGUAGUGGGAGGGGACCCUCUGUCUCAGGGCUGUUUUAUGUCUGUGAAGUAAAUGCAAAGAUUGCUCAGUGGAGGAGGCCAAGGAUCAUGAAACAUGCUGGCGUCAGGGCUUUGGUUGAGAUGGAGCUCAGCUCGAUGCUGGUGUGCAGGUGCUUGCAAAGUGUAAUGGAAAUGUAUUUCUCCAUGACAGGUCACAGUUAGCCAUGAAUUUUGAGGAUCAUGACUGUCAGCCUUGACUGAACCAGCCUGUGAUGGCAGGCAUUCAGCUUUUGAUGCUAGAAGCUAGAUUUUCUCUCUGACUAGUUCUUUCUCUUAAUAGGUGCCUAACUUAGAGCCUGUGAGUCUAACCUCUGGAUUUAGGUGUGAAUUCCUUUUCUCAGCUCCUUUUAAUUUCAGUAGAAGUGAGAAUUAACUGUGUUGGUUUGUGUGAAUUACUAUUUGGAAAUAGAAACACACAACUCAUCCCAGACCAAACCCACCAUAAAAUGCAGCACGUGUGGUGCCAAUAUGGUGCGUGCAGGGUGCUGCAAAGAAAGAACAAAUGUGCCCUGUGAAGCAUGUUGCUCAUUUUAUGUAAAGCACAAACAAUUUAUGGAAAUAGUAUUUCACUGAUUAUUCAAUGUCCAAUUAUUCAUAUCUAGAAUAAUUCCUGAAGUCGGAGAAAUAAAACACUGAAUGACUCCAUUUAGGAAAUCCUUUUGACUCAAGUGCUUUCCUUGAAACAGCAAAUAGCUGGAUGACCUCAAGCACAUAUUUAAUUGUGCCUUGUAAUAAAGUAAUAUAAUUAGCAAUUACUUUGGAAUGACUUUAAUAUACUUAACAGCUACUACGGAAAUGCAUUUAUUCAGGAGGCUUUGUUUUCUUUUGACUUCUGUUAGUACAAAAUAAACUCUUGUCUGAAUGGAGCUCAUACCUGAGUUCCCCAAAUUGUUCCUCAGGGCACACAGAGUGAGCAGGCUUUUUCCACAGCAGAUCUAUAACAGCUGUAGGGCUCUCUGUUAUAGAGGAUGAAACUAAGCUUGCAGGAGGGCAAAAAGGGCAACACAAAGCAUGCAGGUAGUGCGUUGGCUAGGCAUGCAGGCCAGCACUCCACUCUUCUUCUUCUUUUUUUUUUUUUUUCCUUUUUUUUCCCUCCUUUAUUUUUUUUUCCCCAGUACUACUCAGUAGCACCAGGUUUGGUGGUACUCACCCAUGUAUCAUUUCAUAGUGGUUCACGUUCUGCUGGCAACAGAAAUGUGGCACAGGUGGGCAGCUCUGUCUUAAAAAUAAUAGACUUGAACAGAAGGCUGUAUGUGCAUAUUUUCCUUACAAAUAAUUAAUGUUAAUUGGAAAGCUUUCAAAUAAAAAAUGAACUGUACAAAGGAAGCAAAAAGGAGAAGCAGACUAAGAUUUAAAAGGAGCAAUAGGACAGUGAUUGAAUGAAAAUACUGAUAUUCCCUUAAGUUUGGUGGCAGAGAAUAAAUCAGUAAAUUAACUUAUGUGUUGGAUACCAGAUUCAUAUAAUUCUGUUACCUCUGCUGAGAAAAAUAGCAGUCCCUGUUCAGAAGUUUCAGUCCACGGUGCAGGCAUAUCAUGUGGUUUGCAUAGGGACAACUAUGUGCUUAUUUUAUUUGUCUGCCAAUGCCAAAGAGCUCAGCUGUAUCCGAAAUCUGUUCCCUUGCUUUGCAUUCUGGUGUCUUCAUCUCUGACAUUGCCUGCUAUUCAGGCAACGCUAUACCAGACAUGUACAUCACCACAGAUGAAGCAGCUGAUAAAAUGUUGUAGUCUUUUUAGUGCAGCCCAUUUUGAUGUGCUCAGAAGGGCUUACUAGGCACUAGCACGUGGGCUUACCUGGGGAAGCAAUAGUGCUGUCGCUGGAGCACGUCACUGCACUAACCCUGUCCCAUUUUCCUCCAGUUCACUCAUCCCACAGGGAACCAAACCUGACAGCAUCAAGCAAGUGUAGAAAGCAACUCUGUUCCCAACGCUACACUUUUAUUUUCCUCUGCGCUUGCUAGGUCCCUUGAUCCCACAUCCCUCUCUAGUUACUCUAACCAUGGGAAUAAAGCCUGCCCCUGGGAUGGCUGAAGGCUUUUUCUAGGCUGUGGAAGGCAUCAUCAAGCCGUGUCUCUGCACGGUGCAGUUUAAAUCAGCUGUGCAGGGAGCAGAGCAAGGGCAGCAAAUUAUGUAAGAAAAAAAUCUUCAUCCUGGCACAGGCAUAUUCAGGAAAAGAAAUGUAACACAGCUAUCUCAUGUUCUGGUUCCAAAGAGAGACAAUUAGGAAUUUAACCCAGGCGUGGACAAUUCAAUUUCUGCUGCCUGGUUUUUAUAUGGUCCCUGGAAUGUGUUCUGGGGACCUGCUGGAGCCAAGCACACAGUUUGGCUCCAGGAUGUCACAGGAGCAGGGAAGUGGAAAGACACAUGUCCUGGUACCUUCAGCCCCUACUUAACACGUCUACUUUGCUUUCCACAGGUGUAACCCCCAUGAGGACCUCUCAUGGGCAAGGCAGGACCUGCACCAAAUGGAGUAAAUGCACUGACCAAACUUAUGGUCUGACCUAGGUGCUAAAAUGUUCUACUCAGAUAAAAAAAGAGAUCAAAUCACAUGCUGAAUUUGAAGCACCAGUGGCAUCACUAGUGUGAAGAGUCAAGCUUUCUGGUUCACUUGGUUUGGUUUGAUAUGCUUCGCCAUGCUCCCACCCCAUACACAUAAACAGGUAGUGGGAGAUGAAAGGAAAACUGCCAAAUUACAGUGAUCUCACCACACCUCCUAAUCCUCUAUUAAUUUCUUUCUUUUUCUGGAAGCUUGAGAGAUCUUUGUUGGUGCAAGAGGGAAACCCAUAGAAAUAGUUUGGUGUAUAUAGAACAGAUGGGGAAAGGAUAAUGCCCUAACCACAGAACAGCAUUUAACAUGUCUGGGAUAGUACUGAGUUGUGUAUGUUACUAGAAAAAUACAUGUUGAAGGUGUACUAUCAUUUUAAAACGCAUAUAUCUCAAAGUAUGGGUAUAGUUGGAUAUAGUAGUUAUUUCUGCAUCUUUGAUUCAGCAUUUAAGAGUUUUGCUGUACACAACACAACCUUGAAGACUGGGUGCAUACAAAUGUAAUUUCUGCCAAUGUUGACAUGAGAAUUUGCUGUUGUUUAUCCUGGCUUUACUAUGCUUAGAUAUUUAUGAGGUCUCUAUGGUAGAACUGUCGAACUUAAAUACCAGGUUGUCACUUGGUAUGUCAGAGCACCAUGGCAUGAUGACCACAGUGCUUUUUGUGGUCACAGUUUAUGUUAGUCAUUUGGUGCACUGGUGUCAUCAGCAUACCACAAAGGUAAAUUAGAUUAAAUUAUUUCUUACUCCAAGUCAUUUUAUAGUAUAGCUGUACAGUAUAAACCAUUUUCCUAAAGUUUCCUAUUCUGGCUAAACUGUGCAGAUAAAUCUCUCUUUGAGUGUUGACAAGAGGUUGGUGUAGAGAUGUCUACACCCCUGUGCUUUCCAGUGAUGUAUUGAAGCCUCUCUGCUCUCUCAUGGUGGUUUUCUUCAGAAUCUUUUAUAAAAGUUAUUUCUUUCAUUUUCUUUCAGUUCCAUUUUGCACCAAUCUGCUUCAUUUCAUGUGGCAACCCUAUCAGAUUGGAGAAGUCAAGCAUUUCUGGAUCACAUCAGAAUUGUAAUGGGAGAGAUACCAAAUAGGACUGAAGCAUGCAGAAAACAAGGAUGAAGAUUCAGCAGUAGCCUGCUUCCCUUCCAGUUGGUCCCACAGCAUUGCCCUUCUUGGCUGCUUCCUCCAUGACAGCAUCGUUCCACUCAGGCUACUAGGAAGAAGGCAGUAUCAGCUGUGAAUGACACAAGAACAACUGGGGAAGAGGAUGAGAAAACUGUGAAAGAAUUGCUGGGGGAGAUGCCUGGGGACAUUGGCAGUGUUUUGAGCCAGCUUCUGAAGAAAACCUGGAGAAGUCUUACUGGAGCUGAAGUUGCUGCAUGAAGGAUAGAGGGAAACAAGGGUGGAUCCUCUUCCCCACAGUGAUGCCAUGAUAAAGGAUGACCAAUAGCUGUAAGGAGAAAGAACAUAUAAGGGACAAGCCGAGAUAACACUUAGUAAGGGAUGGAAAAUGCCAGGCCUUCGUAUGGUCUACUGACUCCCUGGCCAAGAUGUGUCCUGCAGCUGAUGUAUAGCCCUAAGCAGGAAACAGCCAGGGCAUGCAUUUCAUGAGUGGGGUAUAUGAGGCGGUACUUCAUCUCCAGGCCUCAGUGGAGGACACAGAGCAGAGGCAAUAUCAUGAGGGGACGUAGCAGGCAUAGACAUGAUUUUUCAUCAUGCUUGUUUACAAUGCGGCAGCUCGACUGGACUUGCUUAUUUAUGUUGAACUGCACAGUGUGCAAGCACUCAGCAAAGAGGCAGGUAUCCAAAACCAAGGUGUUAGUACAGGCUGCAAAUCAAGAGCACGGUGAACUGAACAUGGUCACAAACAGGCUUUAAUAUUGCACUGCAGAACAGUAACUCCCACACUAAAUGAAGAAAAGGGUUAAAUUUGUAGACGGCUGGCUUUGCAUAGUCUGGCUAGGCCCACCACACUGAUAUUUAUAAACUCUCAGUGGAUGACUGAGAGCAGCUCCAGGCCUGCCGAGGGCAGACUAGCUCUCUAGCAACACACUGCAGGUGAAUUUAAGGGUGUGGUAAUUGAGCUGGGCUUGGGUCACCCAGUAGCAGUCUGAACCCAGCCAGCCAUGCUAGGCAUAGCUCUACACUCCUGAACAAAGUGUUCCAUUAGGCCUGCUGGAGCCUGGGCAGCCUCCACUAGUCAGGCUUUCUCUUUCUGAAUUUUAUGCAAUGAAAAGAAUGGGAUAGGCAGGGCGUGCAAGGAGGAUUUUGUUCACUUCCAUAAAGAAUCCAGACUACAGCUAAGCAUCUGGAAACAUGCUUCUUGGGAUUUCAGUGUUGCAUCUAAAAUGCUAUGUUAUGACAGGGAGCAGAAGAAAAAAGGAUCAGUGACUUUGCAGAUGAAUGACCAACGUACUAACAUGACAAAAUGAGCUCUUGGUUUGCCAUAAAUACAUUAUCUAAGCUUUCAAGGGUUGAUCAGUAAGAAUGCAAAAUCUCUUUCAAAGGAUGUAGAUGAGAAGGAGGGGUACUCAUCAGAAUUAAAGAACAGCUUUUGCUAGACUGGUGUUCCUGGCAGGUUACACCUGCUUCCCACUCUGUGCCUUGCUGCCACUCUGUCUGGAGCAACGUGCUUCUAACAAUAGCUGGUAGCUGCAAGGUACAGAGUGUGCUACGCAGCUCGUUUCCUCUUCCUCCUGCCUGAUUGUUAUUGCAGAGCUCCCAGCAAGAAGGGCUCUUUAAUGCCAUUAAGUCACAAGAAACUGUGGCUUUGAUAGUGAGGAUCUGAUUUAAUGCAAUACCAAGUCAAAGAAAAACAUUUAAAGAGAGAAGAUGCCUUUCUCUAAGUGCUUUGUACUGUAAAGCUUCUGUAUAUACACAUACACUCACAUGCUCACACAUCCUGGAGGAGGUGCGUGUCCAGAAGGGAAAUCCUGCCUGCACCGGAGUUCAUGACAAAUGUUCCCACUGACCUUGGCAGGGCAGAGUUUCAGCCACUGUCUGUGUAUGUGGGGGACGGUGUGGAAGUGUUCAGGCAUGAUAUGUCUGUAUUUACUUGCUGUGAAGGACUGUGGGAGCCUGAACAUACUAGCAAUGUACCAAAAUACAAAUGGAGAGUAAGAGGUUGUCCCCAGGACAAGGCCCAGGAGCGUUGCCAUGCCUUCCUGCACCACAUGUGGUCUCCUGCAGCUUUGUCUGUAUGCAGGUUGUGGGAGCACCCUAGGCAGUGACCUUACUCACCAUCAGAGUCUUGGUGGGGUCUUGGCUUGCUUGCUUGUUUUUGGCUUGGUGACUUUUUUGUGUGUGAUGCUUUCUUGUUUGUCUUUUUAACACAUAUUGGGGUUAGUCUAAAAAUUGCUCAACUGCCUUCAUUCUUCUGCUCUCAAAAUAGAUAGGACAGUUUUUGAGGGCCAAUUAGAAGGGCCAGCUGGCCCUUGAAUAACCAUAAUCCUGCAUUCAGUGAUUUCACUCUGCUUGAUUUUACCUUCAGAUAUGUUUUCAGUGUGGCAGAAGGACAAGAAACCUACUUCUACAAGUAAUUUAGUGGUUAUGCACUUCAAAACUCCCAUUUUAAUGCUGAUUGUAAUUCUAUUCCACUGUUUUUUUCUAAAAUCUGUUUUGAAUUUGUGCACCUCUAAGCAUCAUUCAGUGAUAUUAUAGGUGGAAACAUAAGAUCCAGUAUAAUGAACACGAAUCCUGUUUUCCUGGAGACCUUUUAUAGAUCUACUGAAGGUAAUUCAGAGACUCACAGUUUAAAGACCUGCUUUAAUUUGUGUAGCUGUAAUGUGCCAAACUUGAGUGGCUAAUUUCGUAUCAGUCACUGAAUGCAGUGGGCCAGCCACAUGACUUCCUUAAUUUAAAAUGUGUUUUGUAUUUAUGGGUUCCUCCUGUUUGUAACUAUCAUUUUGUAACAGCUGCCCUGUGGUACAGCAAGCACCACAAAGCAGAAUCCCUAUGUCUGAAAGGCACUUCCUUCCCCCUUCAUCUUGACAGCACACAUCUGAGCCAAGGUUCCUCUGUGCAGAACCGGGUUGGUCCCAAUACUGGGGCUCUCACUCCUGCUGGAAAGCACUGCACAUCCAUGACUGAGACCAGAUUUGGGGCAGUAUGCCAAGUUCUUUUGAGGAUUUGGGCCUGGCUGUAAAUGUCACAGCUGGUGGCUUCCCACUGUUGAAAAUCUGCUGCAAUAUUAUGGAUGAUGAGCAUUUGGAAAAUCUGGUGCUGAAGACCAGCAGUCAAUAGGGUGAUGUAAAGGAGAGUGGGACAAGGCCCAGAGCUGCAGCACAGGAAAGCAGGAAUACAUUCAAAGUCAUAGACAUUGUCUGUGCAGGAUUCCAAAUACCUGGCAAAACCAAAGCAAAACAUGAGCAUUACUAAAAAACAUCAGGUAGACCUAUUUCUGCGUAGCAAGUAUAAAACCUUGAAUUACUUCCAAAAAAGAUCUGAAUUACCAUUACCAGUGCUCCUGCAGAAGCACUCUGAACUAAGAGCUUGAAGCCAGAGACUUCCAGUUACACUGGAAAAAUGCAUUCUCACUCCCAUGCGGAGUGGUGGCUCCUUGGACAUGUUCCACGUUUCACUGGAAGAGCUGGCAAUAUCGUAAAUUCCAGAAGAAAAGCUGCUGAACUGCUUUAAGAUUAUUUUAAAGAUGUGUACAAACUACUUUCAGAAAAUUAUGAUCACUGUUUUUUUUUGUUGUUGUGAAUCUUCACGUUUACUCUUCCUUACAUACUAUUUACCUUCUCCCUUUGGAGCACCGUUGUAUAUGGAAACCUGCUCAGCACAACACAUAAACAGCUGUGGUAAGCAGUCUAUAAAGAUGUAAAGAGCAGUUGUUGUCACUGUACUAACAAAGCAGAUUUUAUCAAAUUUGCCUUCAAACCAGGCUCUCAGCUGCUCCCAAGCAUAUCGAGAUGACCCCUACAUGUGUUAGCAAUAUGCUACAAUGACAUACAUGUGUUCCUACGUAGCCUAUUCCAGCACAGGUUUCUUUGUUCACAAUCACAUUAUGCAUGUGUUUGUUAUUCAUGUUUCUGCUUCCACAACUUUCCUUUGAUGUAAGUACAAUACAACUUUUUCAUCGUUAUUUGAAACAGAAACGUCGGGACAAAAGGAGCAUCAAAUAUAGGAAGUACUGAGUUACAUUUUGCCAGUGGUUUAUACCUUUUCUGUAUGUUAAAGUCAUCAAUAACAUAUUUUCAGAAGAAAAAUGAAUGACUUGACUUUUGUUCAGACUACAGGCUUAGCGUAAAGGUCAGACUGUGAUGCCGUGACACAGUGACUGCUCAAAGUCUGCCGCAGAGAGUUUGUGUCAGGGGCAGGAGCAGAUUCACAUUGUCUUUAGCAGUGCCAGAGACAUUUUUUUCUGAAGAGAACAUUAGCUUUUAAGUCUCCUGCAAGUCCUCUGAAAAAUAAAUAUACAUCUUUGGAAAGUGACUGGAAAGAUGCUUACAUGAGAGCUGGAAAAGAUGCUCAAUAUCAAUCUGUACUUUCCUCUUUAAGUGUUUCUGAGCCACAUCUUCACCUGCAAUUAACUCACAUGGCGUAUGAAGAUACACUCCUCUGUGCUUAACCUUUAAACAAAAUUUCUCUGAUUAUUGGCCUUCAUUCCCAGUGUGACUGAGAAACGAGCAGGGCAGAUGGGAGCAGGCGUUCCCAGUUGAUGCUACAGAACAUUUCUGUGAUGAUUUAAAGCUGUGUUAAACAAUAGCUUGUUCACAUUCAAUUUCAGAGCAUCCCAAGAUGCUGUAUGAGGCAGGGAAGAGAACUGAAAUUGCUUUUGCGGAGAUGCUAGGCAUAAUUAAAGGCUCAUGUCUGGAUCUUACAGCUAACAAACUGCUGUACAACAAGGGAAGCGGCUCCCUAAGUAGUUUUUUUUACAAAACACUAAAUAUACUGUUGUAACAAUAAAACCUAACCAUCCAGCUGCCAGCACAUUGUGUGCGUGUGGCACUGUGGACAUCAUGUCCACCCCCUCCCCUCAAAUCCAUCCCCUUCUGCUGUUGGAAAAUAGCAAAAGUCCUACCAGGAGCUACUGAGAAGUUUAAUAAAAAUAAAUUGGAGCUGCUUAAUCCA
Molecule: long non-coding RNA, 11031 nt
Organism: Gallus gallus (chicken)
Lineage: Eukaryota; Metazoa; Chordata; Aves; Galliformes; Phasianidae
Exons: 2
Source: RefSeq, a predicted model, not a curated record